UUUUAAAACAAAUACAAAGUCAUUGUGUUUGGAGUGGGGCAGAUGAGGAGAGAGGGUGGAGGAGGGUAGCUAGUGUUCCGGAAAUAGAAUUGAAAAUCCAAGUCUCCUCCUAGCCCAGGAAACCUCUCCACAAAGGUGGGAGAGAAAGAAGACAAUGGAUUACUGAACAGCUGUAACCCAGAAUGCCAGGAGCCUCCGAGGCAGCCCUUGGACAGACUGCAAAGACACAGGAACCCAUCCCUUUCCAUAGGCUCCGAUUCGGCUCCUUACAGACAUGCUUCUGAGGUGUGUGACCGAGACCCCCUGGGCAAGGGUGACCACAGUGACAGUGCUAACCAAGCCAAGGGAGGAAGAUGGUCACCUAUGCUUUGUCACCAUUGGGGUGACAUUGGCUUCAAAUGUCCCUAUAGCACCCAAGAAAGCAAGCAGAGAAGGGGGAAGUGCUGGAGCCCUGCGGGCCUCUGGCUGGGCGGCUGGGCCUCUGCCACAUGGCCCCAGGACAUCAGCUCAGGUUCUGAUCCGUGGCCUUGGAGGGCGCCAGUUGGGCAUGCUCUGGUCUCGCAGGUGUUAGCCACGUGGGCUUGUGAGCUACGUGAGGCCACAUUCCCCUCACCUGGCCCGUUGCCUGUCCCUCUCCACUCCCAGGGAAAUAACUUCAUUGUUUUUCUUGGCUUUAAACUGAAAUAUUACUUUUAAUUUUUCUUUUGUGGGCUGGGGAUGUGUCUCAAGUGGUAAUGCGCUCGCCUGGCAUGCACGGGGUGCUGGGUUCGAUCCUCAGCACCACAUAAAAUAAAGAUUUUGUGUCCACCUAAAACUGAAAAAUAAAUAUUAAAAAAUUCUCUCUCUCUUCUCUCCCUCUCUUCUCUCUCAAAAAAAAUAUUUUGUAGUGGAUGUGCAACAACUGUACAUAUUUAUGGGUGGGGUGCAGUGGUGGUACCUGGAUACAGUGUAUUUAAAAAAAUUUAUUAAAUAUUCUUUUAAUAGACCUUUAUUUUAUGUAUUUAUAUGUGGUGCUGAGAAUCGAACCCAGGGCCUCACACAAGCUAGGCCAGCGCUCUGCCACUGAGCCACAACCCCAGCCCAAUAUAUGUAUUUUAUGCAGUGAUUGAAACAGAGUAGCAAAUCCAUGACCUCAAAUGUUGCCAUUUCUUUGUGAGACUUUCCAGAAUCCCCUCUUCUAGCUAGUUUGGAGUAUAUAUUUCAUUAUGGUUAACUGCAGACCCAGUGCUGUGUAAUCUAACAUCAGAAUUUACUUUCUUUUCUUUUUUCCUUUUCGGUACCAAGGAUUGAACUCAGGAGCACUUAACCACUGCACAUCCCCAGCCCUCCCCCCCAUUUUUAUUUUUUUUUAAUUUUGAGACAGGGUCUUGCUAAGUUGCUUAGGUCUGGCUUUGAACUUGCAACCCUCCUGCCUCAGCCUCCUAAGGGGCUGGGAUUACCAGUGUGCACCACCUGUAUCGGCUUAGAAUUUACUCUUCUUACCUAAUUGUAACCUUGUUUCCAUUGAUUUAUAUCUCAUCCUCCUUACCCCACUACCCUCCCUGGAAAAACUAAUUAAUCAAUUAAUGUUCUGAGCAAGCAUAAAGUAAGGGUAGGUGUUGGGUGAAUACUGGUAGCGCCUGGGAGCGCUGUUCUGGGCAGCGAGGGGAGGACUUGAGCACUUGCCCAGCAGGCACCCGGUCCUGAUUCCAUCUGCAGCAUCCCGGGAAGAAAAAGGGAGGUGUGGGCUCUGAAAGCGCUGAGUGAGCUUCUGUCUUACCAGAGAGGCGAGGCCGAUUCCCUGCUCCUCUGGGGGAGUUAAAGAGCACCCAUCAGAACCAGGAGGAGGCCCGCGUCUGAGUGAGACCUCGCUUUCGGCUCUGCUUGCUGGGAACUGAGGCUGCCUCUGCAUCACCGUUCGUCACUCAGGAGGAAAAGCAGCCCAGGAUGGCCAGAUAAGAGCGCAGAAGCCUGGUGUUCUUUUUUUU
Molecule: long non-coding RNA, 1967 nt
Filed under: Marmota monax (woodchuck)
Lineage: Eukaryota; Metazoa; Chordata; Mammalia; Rodentia; Sciuridae
Source: RNAcentral